RNAcentral lists this ribosomal RNA (403 nucleotides) under Verrucomicrobiota bacterium. RNAcentral's name for it is "Verrucomicrobia bacterium partial 16S ribosomal RNA". It matches the Rfam family "Bacterial small subunit ribosomal RNA", at positions 355 to 776 of the family's 1533-position model. The record is from RNAcentral. Lineage: Bacteria; Pseudomonadati; Verrucomicrobiota.
UGGGGAAUAUUGCACAAUGGGCGCAAGCCUGAUGCAGCAACGCCGCGUGAACGAUGAAGGUCUUCGGAUCGUAAAGUUCUGUUGCAGGGGAAGAUAAUGACGGUACCCUGUAAGGAAGCCCCGGCUAACUACGUGCCAGCAGCCGCGGUAAUACGUAGGGGGCUAGCGUUAUCCGGAUUUACUGGGCGUAAAGGGUGCGUAGGUGGUCUUUCAAGUCGGUGGUUAAAGGCUACGGCUCAACCGUAGUUAGCCUCCGAAACUGGAAGACUUGAGUGCAGGAGAGGAAAGUGGAAUUCCCAGUGUAGCGGUGAAAUGCGUAGAUAUUGGGAGGAACACCAGUAGCGAAGGCGGCUUUCUGGACUGCAACUGACACUGAGGCACGAAAGCGUGGGUAGCAAACAGG